UACGUAGGCAGCGAGCGUUGUUCGGAAUUACUGGGCGUAAAGAGUGUGUAGGCGGUGCUCCCAGUCUGUUGUGAAAUCUCCCGGCUUAACUGGGAGGGUGCAGCGGAAACUAGAGUGCUUGAGGUUGGGAGAGGGAUGCGGAAUUCCAGGUGUAGCGGUGAAAUGCGUAGAUAUCUGGAGGAACACCGGUGGCGAAGGCGGCAUCCUGGACCAAUUCUGACGCUGAGGAGCGAAAGCCAGGGGAGCAAACGGG
This 253-nucleotide ribosomal RNA is filed under the name uncultured bacterium. RNAcentral describes it as "partial 16S ribosomal RNA". It matches the Rfam family "Bacterial small subunit ribosomal RNA", at positions 524 to 776 of the family's 1533-position model. The record is from RNAcentral.